CAACAAUGUUUCUUCAACAAUUUCCUCCAGAGGACCCUCCGUUAUCGUUGUCACAGGAGAUUGUCCUUUUUCUUCCACAGUAACUUCUUCCGUUACUUGCUGUUUCUGUCCUUUACGUUUUAUAAUUUUUUUCUUUGUAAUUUUCUUUGGUUUUUUACCCUCUACUACUUCCUCGGUUACUAUAACUUGUUCUCUUAUCUCUUCUUCCUCACUAGGCUUGAUAAUUUCAGGCUGUGGUAACACUGUUUCUUCAACAAUUUCCUCCAUAGGACCCUCCGUUAUCGUUGUUACAAGAGGUUGUCCUUUUUCUUCCACUGUAACUUCUUCCGUUACUUGCUGUUUCUGUCCUUUACGUUUUAUAAUUUUUUUCUUUGUAAUUCUUUUUGGUUUCUCUCCCUUUACUAUUUCUUCGGUUACUGUAACUUGUUCUCUUAUGUGUUCCUCCUCAAUAGGUUUAGCAAAUUCUUGCUGUGGAAGAGGCAACAAUGUUUCUUCAACAAUUUCCUCCAGAGGACCCUCCGUUAUCGUUGUCACAGGAGAUUGUCCUUUUUCUUCCACAGUAACUUCUUCCGUUACUUGCUGUUUCUGUCCUUUACGUUUAAUAAUUUUUUUCUUUGUAACUUUCUUUGGUUUUUUACCCUCUACUACUUCCUCGGUUACUAUAACUUGUUCUCUUAUGUGUUCCUCCUCAAUAGGUUUAGCAAAUUCUUGCUGUGGAAGAGGCAACAAUGUAUCUUCAACAAUUUCCUCCAUAGGACCCUCCGUUAUGGUUAUCACAGGAGAUUGUCCUUUUUCUUCCUCUGUAACUUCUUCCGUUAUUUGCUGUUUCUGUCCUUUACGUUUUAUAAUUUUUUUCUUUGUAAUUCUUUUUGGUUUCUCUCCCUUUACUAUUUCUUCGGUUACUGUAACUUGUUCUCUUAUGUGUUCCUCCUCAAUAGGCUUGAUAAUUUCAGGCUGUGGUAACACUGUUUCUUCAACAAUUUCCUCCAUAGGACCCUCCGUUAUCGUUGUUACAAGAGGUUGUCCUUUUUCUUCCACUGUAACUUCUUCCGUUACUUGCUGUUUCUGUCCUUUACGUUUUAUAAUUUUUUUCUUUGUAAUUCUUUUUGGUUUCUCUCCCUUUACUAUUUCUUCGGUUACUGUAACUUGUUCUCUUAUGUGUUCCUCCUCAAUAGGUUUAGCAAAUUCAUGCUGUGGAAGAGGUAACACUGUUUCUUCAACGAUUUCCUCCAUAGGACCCUCCGUUAUCGUUGUUACAGGAGAUUGUCCUUUUUCUUUCUCUGUAACUUCUUCCGUUACUUGCUGUUUCUGUCCUUUACGUUUUAUAAUUUCUUUCUUUGUAAUUCUUUUUGGUUUCUCUCCCUUUACUAUUUCCUCGGUUACUGUAACUUGUUCUCUUAUGUGUUCCUCCUCAAUAGGUUUAGCAAAUUCAUGCUGUGGAAGAGGUAACACUGUUUCUUCAACGAUUUCCUCCAUAGGACCCUCCGUUAUCGUUGUUACAGGAGAUUGUCCUUUUUCUUUCUCUGUAACUUCUUCCGUUACUUGCUGUUUCUGUCCUUUACGUUUUAUAAUUUCUUUCUUUGUAAUUCUUUUUGGUUUCUCUCCCUUUACUAUUUCCUCGGUUACUGUAACUUGUUCUCUUAUGUGUUCCUCCUCAAUAGGUUUAGCAAAUUCAUGCUGUGGAAGUGGCAACACUGUUUCUUCAACAAUUUCCUCCAGAGGACCCUCCAUUAUCGUUGUCACUGGAGAUUGUCCUUUUUCUUCCACAGUAACUUCUUCCGUUACUUGCUGUUUCUGUCCUUUACGUUUU
Cataglyphis hispanica is the source of this 1810-nucleotide long non-coding RNA. RefSeq lists it as uncharacterized. The transcript has 9 exons. Lineage: Eukaryota; Metazoa; Arthropoda; Insecta; Hymenoptera; Formicidae. The record is from RefSeq and is a predicted model, not a curated record.